This 252-nucleotide ribosomal RNA is filed under the name uncultured soil bacterium. RNAcentral's name for it is "partial 16S ribosomal RNA". It matches the Rfam family "Bacterial small subunit ribosomal RNA", at positions 26 to 287 of the family's 1533-position model. The record is from RNAcentral.
AGGAUGAACGCUGGCGGCGUGCUUAACACAUGCAAGUCACGGGGGCCCAGCAAUGGGCAACCGGCGAACGGGUGCGUAACACGUGAGCAACCUACCGAAAUGAGGGGGAUAGCCGGCCCAACGGCCGGGUAAUACCGCAUACGCUCGAGACCGGGCAUUUGGACUCGAGGAAACCUCCGGGGCAUUUCGAGGGGCUCGCGGCCUAUCAGCUAGUUGGUGAGGUAACGGCUCACCAAGGCGACGACGGGUAGC